GAAAUAUUGCAAUGCAGAGUACUUUCCAAAAUACGCCGAGAGUAUUCCUGAUGGUGAAACGAGCGUUGCUUCAUCGAACGCAGCUAAAGAAAACAACAUCUAUGUAGUUGGUGGUACGAUGCCUGAAAUAGGGGGCGAUAAAUUGUACAAUACCUGUACUAUUUGGGGUCCCGAUGGAACUUUGAUAGCAAAACACCGAAAGGUACAUCUAUUCGACAUCGACAUUCCUAAUAAGAUUACUUUUCGAGAGAGUGAUUCACUCAGUCCUGGUAACUCCCUAACGACGUUCGAUGUGAAGGGCUGCAAAAUAGGUAUUGGCAUUUGCUAUGAUAUUAGAUUCGAGGAAAUGGCACGCAUUUAUCGGAACAAAGGUUGCCAAAUGCUGAUAUAUCCAGCGGCAUUCAAUAUGACCACUGGACCACUGCACUGGUCAUUACUUCAGCGUUUCAGAGCGAAUGAUAAUCAAUUAUACGUUGCCUGCAUAUCACCGGCUCGUGUUCCUUAAGCAAGUUACGUCGCAUGGGGACAUACACAGUUGACCAAUCCCUGGGGAAAGAUUCUUUACGAUUUGGAAACUCAAGAGAAUAUGGCAGUCACCGAUAUCGAUCUAAAAGUUGUUGAGGAAGUAAGGGCUCAGAUACCUACAUUUUCUCAGAGACGUACAGAUUUGUACGACACUGUCUGUAAGAAGGAGUAACUCUACACUAAAACAGAAAAUGUUUUUUUUAUAAUAUUUCUACUACGAUAUCCUUUUUUUGUGAAUUAUUACUAAUUUCUUAUCAUUUGUACUAAAUGAAUGACUCAAUUAAGAAAACCAAAACGUUAUAAAUAAUAAUCUGUAUAUCUUGUGUAUCAACAUGUAAUUGGAUAUUAUAAUAAUAUAGGAAUGCUAUAAUAAUAUAGGAUAAUAAUAUAGGAGAAUA
Molecule: long non-coding RNA, 923 nt
Organism: Bombus huntii
Lineage: Eukaryota; Metazoa; Arthropoda; Insecta; Hymenoptera; Apidae
Exons: 4
Source: RefSeq, a predicted model, not a curated record